AUGGAGUUCGAAAUGAUGAGCCAACAAGGGGCGCUGCUCAAAGUGGGGCUGUUCGUGUUGGUGCAGGCGCUGGUGUACCUCAUCCUUGCCCAGUCCUCCUCAGUCUUCUCCACCACCAAGACCCUCGGCCUCCCCCCGGCGCGCUCCCUCAGCGCCCGCCGCAUGGUCGCGCUGAUCUCCGACCUGCCGCUGCUGCUGGGCGGCGAGCCCUCGCCCCGCGCCGUCUCCGUGGAGCCGUCGUCGCCCGUGCCCCUCGCCCACCAGAAGAAGGAUUCGUUGUUAACCAAGCGCGACUGGCGGCAGGGACACGGACCGAGCUAG
This 321-nucleotide ribosomal RNA is filed under the name Triticum aestivum (bread wheat). Its description in RNAcentral is "partial small subunit ribosomal RNA". The record is from RNAcentral. Lineage: Eukaryota; Viridiplantae; Streptophyta; Magnoliopsida; Poales; Poaceae.